UACGGGGGGGGCUAGCGUUGUUCGGAAUUACUGGGCGUAAAGCGCGCGUAGGCGGAUCUGCAAGUCGGGGGUGAAAUCCCGAGGCUCAACCUCGGAACUGCCUUCGAUACUGCGGGUCUCGAGUCCGGGAGAGGUGAGUGGAAUUCCUAGUGUAGAGGUGAAAUUCGUAGAUAUUAGGAAGAACACCAGUGGCGAAGGCGGCUCACUGGCCCGGUACUGACGCUGAGGCGCGAAAGCGUGGGGAGCAAACAGG
This 253-nucleotide ribosomal RNA is filed under the name uncultured bacterium. RNAcentral describes it as "partial 16S ribosomal RNA". It matches the Rfam family "Bacterial small subunit ribosomal RNA", at positions 524 to 776 of the family's 1533-position model. The record is from RNAcentral.